Molecule: unclassified non-coding RNA, 241 nt
Filed under: Hevea brasiliensis (rubber tree)
Lineage: Eukaryota; Viridiplantae; Streptophyta; Magnoliopsida; Malpighiales; Euphorbiaceae
Source: RNAcentral
UUUAUUUAUGCUACUCGUGCCAAGAUAGAAACAAUGCUUAGAAUCUUAGAACACUGAUUUGGCUGACUUUUAAUAUUUUGGCAUGUGACAUAUAUUUGUUAAGUCAAUAAACCAUGAAAUUAUUUAUUUCUCAACUUUUUUUUCCCAUAACACCUAUGUUGUAAAGAGCAUAGCCUUGAAAGUAGAAAGAUCUACACUACAGUAGAAGCCUGAUAAUUAGUAGGUUUUUUCAUGUUUUUUG